AUUGGUCGAAGCUAUGUGUCAAUGAUGUGUUGAGUCGUAGCUAUGCGUAAGUGAUGUGCAGGGCUUAACUAUGUCUUAGCCUUGUGUUGGCCGCAGCUAGGUUAGUGUUGUAUUAGGUGCAAUUAGGUGUCUAUGUUUGGGUGUUGUGUUGCACAUCUACGUGUGAUACGUAUAAGUAUUGUCUUUAUUGGUGUACUUAAUAUAAUUGUGUUUGGGUCUGAAAUCUUAGAUUUGGAUCGAGAUGGAGUUAGCCUAGGAAGAAGCCCACAAGUUUCGGUACGAUGGUGAAAUAUUCGGCCCAAUAGUAAGGUGUUGAUGACUCGAUCGUGUCCCAGAGUUCCCAAUUCAGAGAUUAGGAAUGGAUUAUGAUUUGGCCAAGUCCUGGUUAAAGUGGGUUUCUGUGAAGAUCAGGGCGGGUUUUGAUAAGAUUUGGAUUGAAUUGUUUAGGUAUAAAAAUUAAAGAAAACUAAUGAAAGGGACUUCAAUACUUUGAAUUUUAGCCAAAAAUCAUGUAAUAACUUUAUUUAAUGGCUAGUACAAAAUCCAAUAUCAAGCCAGCCCAAUAAGACUAGCCCAAAAAAUAUAAUAUAUCGAGCUUCCGAUUUUACCCUUGACGUUAAGUCUUGUCCGUUGGUCCGUUUCGCUUUAGAUGGAGAGAGAGAAGGUUUAUAGAUUCAGAUCUUUUCGUUAAUUUCAUCACAAUUCCAACACACGUAUCGACAACCCCAACAACUUUGGAAAAUGCAAUCGAAAUCCCGAUGCAUGUGAACAGUAGAUGCAGAUCUCGCUUCGGAAAUAAGCGAAGGAUGGGGAGGUUGGGGGCUUUUCGUCCGUCUUCUCAAAUCUCCAGAAAAUCGCCGAAGAGAUCUCUCGCAAUGCAGCUGUGGUUGCUUAAACGGUAGUGAAAAGCCUUGUUGACAUGCAGGCUGUUGAGGAUUCAGAAGAAUCUUCUAAGGACGAGGAACGGGAUAUUGAAAAGGAAAAGCCAAGACGGCACCAAGAGCCAAAAUGAGCAUGAAAAGCCAAGAAAUGCUGCUCUUGAUAAAUUAGAGAAAGCUAGAAUUCAUAUUGCAGGUUGUUGCUGAGUGAAGGUAAAAAAUUUUGAGUUAUCAGUCAUACUAUUUUGUUGUAAGAAAAGUUGUUUGGUGCGGAUUUGUAGCUCUUCUAAAAUUGAAUCAUAAUUAUUUAUAUGUCACUUUGCACUCUGCAAUCAUUUCCUAUAGUAGGAUGGUGAGGGAGAAGGGAUGGGGACCCAACCGAUUACAAAAUAUGCUCACUUUGCACUAUGUUCAGUUUAAGAAGUAGUCAGUGUGUAAUUUAAAAAAUAGUGAUAGUACCCGUGUUUAGUUCUAGAAACAGUCAGUGUUUAGUUUACGAAAUAAUGAUAGUACAAGUAUUCAGUUUAAGAAAUAAUCAGUGCUCACUUUAAAAAAUAGUGAUAUUGUCACGUUUAGGCCUAAAAAUAGUUAGUGGUCAGUUUACGAAAUAAUGAUAGUACCAGUGUUCAAUUUAAGAAAUAGUCAAUGUUCCAUUCUAGAAAUAGUCUGUGUUCAAUUUAAGAAAUAGUGAUAGUACCAGUGUUCAAUUUAUGAAACAGUGAUAGUACCAGUGUUCAGUUUAAGAAAUAAUCAAUGCUCACUUAAAGAAAUAGUAAUAGUAUCGUGUUUAGUUCAAGAAAUAGUUAGUGGUCAGUUUACGAAAUAGUAAUAUUACCACUGUUCAGUUUAAAAAAUAAUCAGUGCUCACUUUAAGAAAUAAUGAUAGUAUCGUGUUUAGUUCUAGAAAUAGUUAGUGGUCAGUUUACGAAAUAGUGAUAGUACUAGUAUUCAGUUUAAGAAAUAGUCAAUGUUCAAUUUUAAAAAUAGUCUGUGUUCAGUUUAAGAAAUAAUGAUAGUUCCAGUGUUCAGUUUACAAAAUAGUGAUAGUAUUAGUGUCCAGUUUAAGAAAUAGUCAGUACCCACUUUAAGAAAUAGUGACAGUUAGUGUUCAUUUUCAUUAAAAUUUAGGCUGUUUAUUUUUUUCUUUUAUAGAAAAUAAAAAACUAUAUUAA
Pyrus x bretschneideri (Chinese white pear) is the source of this 2050-nucleotide long non-coding RNA. RefSeq lists it as uncharacterized. The transcript is spliced from 3 exons. Lineage: Eukaryota; Viridiplantae; Streptophyta; Magnoliopsida; Rosales; Rosaceae. The record is from RefSeq and is a predicted model, not a curated record.